Molecule: non-coding RNA, 1478 nt
Organism: Pseudopodoces humilis (Tibetan ground-tit)
Lineage: Eukaryota; Metazoa; Chordata; Aves; Passeriformes; Paridae
Source: the annotation of a RefSeq genome assembly
GCCAGGGAUUUCAGGAGUAACAAGGCACAAUCUCAAGAGGAGCCCUUUCUGGGGAUUGUGAUAGAACAGAGUGAUGGAGCUGUGUUGCUUUGUGUUUCAGGGAAGGAUGAUGAAAUCCUACCUCCAGCUGUGGCCAUCUUUUCCCCAUCAAAGCAGGAGAUCCAGCAGAAGAGCAAGGCCACGCUGGUGUGCCUGGCCUCUGGCUUCUACCCUGACCACCUGACUCUGGCCUGGAGGGUGAAUGGUGUGAGAAGGACCGAGGGGGUGGGGACAGAUGAGUCCUCCACACAGAAUGGGAGCACCUACUCGCUGACCAGCCGACUGAGGAUGCCAGCCUGGGAAUGGUUCAACCCUUUGAAUCGCUUUGAGUGUGUUGCCUAUUUCUUUCACAAUGGAACAACACAGUCAAUAAACAAAUUUAUCUAUGGUGAUGCUGGCUGUGCACUCACAGAAGGUACGUGUGUCUUCUCACAUAAGGAGAAUUUUGCCUCUUCUCUCAGGCAAUUAUCUGUGUGUAUUUUAAUUCCAGCUUUACUGACACUAAGCACAACGUGUGGGAGAUAUCUGCUGUAUGAAUAGCUUCUUCUUUCUCCUCUAAGUGAUUUGUAUGUGAUAGUAAAAAUGAAAAAACAAAAAAAGGAAGAAAAGUUUUUUGGAGGGUUCUUUGUGCAUGUUAUAUGUAGCUCUGCUUUGGGCUUUUGCUCUCCCAUAUGAUUCCAUUUUGAAAAUAGAAGAAAUCAUGUUACCUUCCUGUAGAUUAGAACUUAUUCUUUAUCAUUUCCUCCAGUCGUAGAAGCUGACCUCCAAUGGGAAUAUUCUUACUCGGCCAGGAAAGAAAUGAUCCAUACUUAUCCAAGUGAUUCUGUCAUCAGGGUUCAGGAUAUGAUAUUUCUUAGUGUCAAGUUUCCCUUCCCGAGUCACAUUCCCUUCUACACUGCUGUCAUAUGUGGAGGAUACUCAUAUUAAAAAUUACAUUUCUUUUCUCUUUGUAUACAUAUUUGCACACUCCUAUUUUUCAACAACUUCUUUAAUGCUUGAGGAAUCUUAAGGCUGAGCUAAGACAGAGCUGGUAUCUCAGUCCUAUGACAACCCCUUAAGAGUGAAAAAUCUACAAGAAUAAAACUUGUAGAAGCCGUGUUAUUCUGACUUUCCUGACACAUCAGCAGCACUUGUAAGGCCACUGACAAUAAUGAGACAAAAUAAAAAAUGUGCAUCUUGUGAUUCAGCCUAUUUUGCAUUCCUAAGAGGGGAUUUGGAUGAACAGCCCAGUUCAUCAGUAGAUGUGGCAACUCAGCACUUUCCUGGCAUGAAGGCAAUCUCUGUCUUUCCUAGACUUGCUUUCUCUUUUGGUUCUUUGAGUCACUAUGGUCUGUUGCAUUCCCUGUUUCCUGGCGCCAACUGAGCCACUCAUUUGGCUCUAGUUCCUUUCUGUGUCUUAGCUAAAGAUUUCAAGGGUUCUCAUUUGAUGACAGCUCCAU